This 497-nucleotide ribosomal RNA is filed under the name uncultured bacterium. RNAcentral describes it as "partial 16S ribosomal RNA". It matches the Rfam family "Bacterial small subunit ribosomal RNA", at positions 28 to 507 of the family's 1533-position model. The record is from RNAcentral.
GAUGAACGCUGGCGGCGUGCCUAAUACAUGCAAGUCGAGCGAACGGACGAGAAUCUUGCUUCUCUGAUGUUAGCGGCGGACGGGUGAGUAACACGUGGAUAACCUACCUAUAAGACCGGGAUAACUUCGGGAAACCGUAGCUAAUACCGGAUAAUAUUUUGAACCGCAUGGUUCAAAAGUGAAAGACGGUCUUGCUGUCACUUAUAGAUGGAUCCGCGCUGCAUUAGCUAGUUGGUAAGGUAACGGCUUACCAAGGCAACGAUGCAUAGCCGACCUGAGAGGGUGAUCGACCACACUGGAACUGAGACACGGUCCAGACUCCUACGGGAGGCAGCAGUAGGGAAUCUUCCGCAAUGGGCGAAAGCCUGACGGAGCAACGCCGCGUGAGUGAUGAAGGUCUUCGGAUCGUAAAACUCUGUUAUUAGGGAAGAACAUAUGUGUAAGUAACUGUGCACAUCUUGACGGUACCUAAUCAGAAAGCCACGGCUAACUACGUG